GACGAACGCUGGCGGCGUGCCUAAUACAUGCAAGUAGAACGCUGAAGGAGGAGCUUGCUUCUCUGGAUGAGUUGCGAACGGGUGAGUAACGCGUAGGUAACCUGCCUGGUAGCGGGGGAUAACUAUUGGAAACGAUAGCUAAUACCGCAUAAGAGUAGAUGUUGCAUGACAUUUGCUUAAAAGGUGCAAUUGCAUCACUACCAGAUGGACCUGCGUUGUAUUAGCUAGUUGGUGGGGUAACGGCUUACCAAGGCGACGAUACAUAGCCGACCUGAGAGGGGGAUCGGCCAACAUGGGACUGGAACACGGCCCAGAAUCCUACGGGAGGCAGCCGUAGGGAAUCUUCGGCAAUGGAGGGAAGUCUGAACGAGCAACGCCGCGUGAGUGAAGAAGGUUUUCGGAUCGUAAAGCUCUGUUGUAAGGGAAGAACGAGUGUGAGAGUGGAAAGUUCACACUGUGACGGUAGCUUACCAGAAAGGGACGGCUAACUACGUG
RNAcentral lists this ribosomal RNA (495 nucleotides) under uncultured bacterium. RNAcentral describes it as "partial 16S ribosomal RNA". It matches the Rfam family "Bacterial small subunit ribosomal RNA", at positions 28 to 507 of the family's 1533-position model. The record is from RNAcentral.